RNAcentral lists this ribosomal RNA (402 nucleotides) under uncultured bacterium. Its description in RNAcentral is "bacterial SSU rRNA". It matches the Rfam family "Bacterial small subunit ribosomal RNA", at positions 30 to 430 of the family's 1533-position model. The record is from RNAcentral.
AUUGAACGCUGGCGGCAUGCCUUACACAUGCAAGUCGAACGGCAGCACGGGGGCAACCCUGGUGGCGAGUGGCGAACGGGUGAGUAACAUAUCGGAACAUACCCUAGAGUGGGGGAUAACGUAGCGAAAGCUACGCUAAUACCGCAUACGAUCUAAGGAUGAAAGUGGGGGAUCUUCGGACCUCAUGCUCAUGGAGUGGCCGAUAUCUGAUUAGCUAGUUGGUGAGGUAAAAGGCUCACCAAGGCGACGAUCAGUAGCUGGUUUGAGAGAACGACCAGCCACACUGGAACUGAGACACGGUCCAGACUCCUACGGGAGGCAGCAGUGGGGAAUUUUGGACAAUGGGGGCAACCCUGAUCCAGCAAUGCCGCGUGAGUGAAGAAGGGCCUUCGGGUUGUAAAG